Stylophora pistillata is the source of this 472-nucleotide long non-coding RNA. RefSeq lists it as uncharacterized. NCBI's taxonomy places the organism in Eukaryota, Metazoa, Cnidaria, Anthozoa, Scleractinia, Pocilloporidae. The record is from RefSeq and is a predicted model, not a curated record.
UGAGACCACUGGUUGAGAACAACAUCUUUGAUUCCAUGACUGUCAUUCGAUACUAAAUCCCUGUUUGAUGGUACAUCCAUGAAUCAAGCUUGCCCCAGUCUUGUAAAGACUUGUGUAUCAGUUCUUAAGAGUUGCCAAAUGGGACUUUGAAAGAAGUUGAACUUGGAGCCAUACUUUGAGCACUCCUUUUCAUCCUGGUGGGCCCUUCUGAGUUAUGUCACCUACAAAGAAACACAACCAUAUGUUACAAAAUGUAGAAGAAUAUUCUAUGCUGCAGGCAGCCACCAUCUGAAAAACAGCUUUAGAUGAAGUAAGGCUCAAAUUAUACGAAAGGAAAGCAUGUGGAUUUAUGAAAUGUACAGUCGAACCAAUCAUCAGCCGACCACCCUGAGAUAAAAAGAUGUAUUCAAAGCACUAGAUUGGAGGUGUUGCGUUUUAAUCAACAUACUCACCAGGCAACCAGCAGAUUACA